Molecule: long non-coding RNA, 890 nt
Organism: Homo sapiens (human)
Lineage: Eukaryota; Metazoa; Chordata; Mammalia; Primates; Hominidae
Gene: UBXN7-AS1
Product: UBXN7 antisense RNA 1
Exons: 2
Source: RefSeq, marked validated
GAGAGAAACAAGACAGAGAGAAUUCAUAGAAUGGCUUUAGGGCCUUUCCUCCAGGCGGAGGGAGGACGGCAGCUGUGGGUAAAGCCCGAAGGAGGAAUGCCUGAAGGUAAGGGGAAGCCCGGGGCAGACCCGCUGCCCGCUCCGGACCCCACUCUCCACCUUCCGGUAACCGCGUCUCUUACCGGUAAUGGUGGUGAACUGUUGAAUUAACCCCUUCAGCGCCGAGGACGCCGCGGAGCCCCCGUGGGCAGCCAUCUUACCGCCGCCGCCGCCGCCGAACAACAACACAGACACACACGGACUGCCCUCCCCCACUUCGCCGUGCGGUGUGCGCAGGCGCAUUGACCGCCCCUCGAGCCCCGCCCCUCCCGUCCCCAGCGGUCUGCGCAGGCGCAUUUUCCGACCGGGCCCGCGCGCUCCCAGCUCUCGGGUUGGCUGCUCGGUUGCUGCCUGCUCAGUGCAUCCUUUUUGCCAUUGCUGGUGCCUUCCUCUCCGGGCUCCAAGGCUAGCCUCGCAGGCGCGGUGUCGAUUCCUAGAUUCCGAAGGAAGCUUCGGUCUCGGCAGAUAGUUCUUCGCAUUUCAGCUUCGCAAGCUUUAUUGACAGAGCCAACUGCCGAUGACAGCAUUUUUCUGUUUUGCGGUUGUACCGCACUCUAUUAGGUUUCCUGCAGGUCCCAUCAAAAUGCAAACCCUACCUCCUCGCUUUGAAGCGACUCUCCCCGUACUCGCCCCCCAGCCUCUAAACUAAUGGCUUAGCUAACCGAUUGCGACGAGUGAAAUACCAGAACCCUUCAUGCCAAAGAAAGCACUUAGCGCGGGGUUGCCACCCAGUAGGUUUUCAUAAACGAUUGUUUAGUCUGCUUUCCUUAAAUAAAUUGGCCAUCACGUCU